This 253-nucleotide ribosomal RNA is filed under the name uncultured bacterium. Its description in RNAcentral is "partial 16S ribosomal RNA". It matches the Rfam family "Bacterial small subunit ribosomal RNA", at positions 524 to 776 of the family's 1533-position model. The record is from RNAcentral.
UACGAAGGGGGCUAGCGUUGUUCGGAAUUACUGGGCGUAAAGCGCACGUAGGCGGGCUGUUAAGUCAGGGGUGAAAUCCCGGAGCUCAACUCCGGAACUGCCUUUGAUACUGGAGAUCUAGAGAUCGAGAGAGGUGAGUGGAAUUCCGAGUGUAGAGGUGAAAUUCGUAGAUAUUCGGAAGAACACCAGUGGCGAAGGCGGCUCACUGGCUCGAGACUGACGCUGAGGUGCGAAAGCGUGGGGAGCAAACAGG